AUGAACGCUGGCGGCGUGCCUAAUACAUGCCAGUCGAGCGAACGGACGAGAAGCUUGCUUCUCUGAUGUUAGCGGCGGCCGGGUGAGUAACACGUGGAUAACCUACCUAUAAGACUGGGAUAACUUCGGGAAACCGGAGCUAAUACCGGAUGAUAUUUUGAACCGCAUGGUUCAAAAGUGAAAGACGGUCUUGCUGUCACUUAUAGAUGGAUCCGCGCUGCAUUAGCUAGUUGGUAAGGUAACGGCUUACCAAGGCAACGAUGCAUAGCCGACCUGAGAGGGUGAUCGGCCACACUGGAACUGAGACACGGUCCAGACUCCUACGGGAGGCAGCAGUAGGGAAUCUUCCGCAAUGGGCGAAAGCCUGACGGAGCAACGCCGCGUGAGUGAUGAAGGUCUUCGGAUCGUAAAACUCUGUUAUUAGGGAAGAACAUAUGUGUAAGUAACUGUGCACAUCUUGACGGUACCUAAUCAGAAAGCCACGGCUAACUACGUG
This 496-nucleotide ribosomal RNA is filed under the name uncultured bacterium. RNAcentral describes it as "partial 16S ribosomal RNA". It matches the Rfam family "Bacterial small subunit ribosomal RNA", at positions 29 to 507 of the family's 1533-position model. The record is from RNAcentral.